RNAcentral lists this signal recognition particle RNA (99 nucleotides) under Acidobacteria bacterium RIFCSPLOWO2_02_FULL_59_13. RNAcentral's name for it is "signal recognition particle sRNA small type". It matches the Rfam family "Bacterial small signal recognition particle RNA". From Rfam's summary of the family: The signal recognition particle (SRP) is a universally conserved ribonucleoprotein involved in the co-translational targeting of proteins to membranes. Archaeal SRP consists of a 7S RNA and homologues of the eukaryotic SRP19 and SRP54 proteins. The record is from RNAcentral. Lineage: Bacteria; Pseudomonadati; Acidobacteriota.
CUUCGGGCUCUGUGCAACAGAGACCUGCAAACCCCGCCAGGUCCGGAAGGAAGCAGCGGUAGCGGGAGCCUCUGUGUGCCACAGAUUCACCCGAAGUCU